GGAUGUGAGGAUGAUCUAGCCAUGAUUUCUUUCACAUCAUUGAAUUCUAGGGUUAAUUUGGCUGAUCUAGCUAGAUAGCUGCAGUCCCCUUCCCCACAGCCACAUGUGCAUCCCUUCCAGAGUUGUGCCUUUGGUGGAAGAAGAUGAUUGACCCCACAGAGGAGGGCUGCUCCUUGGCCGAGGAUAUACUAGUAGCUACGUUCCCCUGUUAGAAGCUCCAAACAAGCUCUCAAGAUAUAAAAAAUAAAUAAAUAAAAAUUUUUAUAGGGCUGGAGAGAUGGCUUAGCAGUUAAGCGCUUGCCUGU
This 305-nucleotide small nuclear RNA is filed under the name Jaculus jaculus (lesser Egyptian jerboa). RNAcentral's name for it is "7SK RNA (ENSJJAG00000003347.1)". It matches the Rfam family "7SK RNA". From Rfam's summary of the family: 7SK was discovered as an abundant small nuclear RNA in the mid-70s but a possible function has only recently been suggested. Two independent studies have found that 7SK RNA binds the CDK9/cyclin T complex (known as elongation factor P-TEFb). P-TEFb activates transcription by phosphorylating the C-terminal domain of RNA polymerase II. Lineage: Eukaryota; Metazoa; Chordata; Mammalia; Rodentia; Dipodidae. The record is from Rfam by way of RNAcentral.